Non-coding RNA from Mycena leptocephala, 93 nucleotides. The record is from the annotation of a GenBank genome assembly. NCBI's taxonomy places the organism in Eukaryota, Fungi, Basidiomycota, Agaricomycetes, Agaricales, Mycenaceae.
AGCAGUAUGGUGUAAUGAUGCACGCGGGAUUUUCUCACCUGGAGGAGAAAAUAGGUUAUUCCUGAGGUCCUUGUUCGAGUCAAGGUACUGCUC